CAAUAGCGUAUAUUAAAGUUGUUGCGGUUAAAAAGCUCGUAGUUGGAUUUCUGCUGAGGACGACCGGUCCGCCCUCUGGGUGAGCAUCUGGCUCGGCCUUGGCAUCUUCUUGGGGAACGUAGCUGCACUUGACUGUGUGGUGCGGUAUCCAGGACUUUUACUUUGAGGAAAUUAGAGUGUUUCAAGCAGGCGUACGCCUUGAAUACAUUAGCAUGGAAUAAUAAGAUAGGACCUCGGUUCUAUUUUGUUGGUUUCUAGAGCUGAGGUAAUGAUUAAUAGGGAUAGUUGGGGGCAUUCGUACUUAACUGUCAGAGGUGAAAUUCUUGGAUUUGUUAAAGACGAACUACUGCGAAAGCAUUUGCCAAGGAUGUUUNCAUUGA
This 380-nucleotide ribosomal RNA is filed under the name uncultured eukaryote. RNAcentral's name for it is "partial 18S ribosomal RNA". It matches the Rfam family "Eukaryotic small subunit ribosomal RNA", at positions 592 to 976 of the family's 1831-position model. The record is from RNAcentral.